RNAcentral lists this ribosomal RNA (562 nucleotides) under actinobacterium KV-410. RNAcentral describes it as "bacterial SSU rRNA". It matches the Rfam family "Bacterial small subunit ribosomal RNA", at positions 69 to 644 of the family's 1533-position model. Lineage: Bacteria; Bacillati; Actinomycetota; Actinomycetes. The record is from RNAcentral.
AUGAACCGGAGCUUGCUCUGGGGGAUUAGUGGCGAACGGGUGAGUAACACGUGAGUAACCUGCCCUUGACUCUGGGAUAACCUCCGGAAACGGAAGCUAAUACCGGAUAUGACGUACGGAGGCAUCUCCUGUACGUGGAAAGAAUUUCGGUCAAGGAUGGACUCGCGGCCUAUCAGGUAGUUGGUGAGGUAACGGCUCACCAAGCCUACGACGGGUAGCCGGCCUGAGAGGGUGACCGGCCACACUGGGACUGAGACACGGCCCAGACUCCUACGGGAGGCAGCAGUGGGGAAUAUUGCACAAUGGGCGCAAGCCUGAUGCAGCAACGCCGCGUGAGGGAUGACGGCCUUCGGGUUGUAAACCUCUUUUAGUAGGGAAGAAGCGAAAGUGACGGUACCUGCAGAAAAAGCACCGGCUAACUACGUGCCAGCAGCCGCGGUAAUACGUAGGGUGCGAGCGUUGUCCGGAAUUAUUGGGCGUAAAGAGCUCGUAGGCGGUCUGUCGCGUCUGCUGUGAAAACCCGAGGCUCAACCUCGGGCCUGCAGUGGUACGGGCAGACUAG